CCAACAGGGAUUGCCUCNGUAACGGCGAGUGAAGCGGCAACAGCUCAAAUUUGAAAGCUGGCCCCCUUCGGGGUCCGCGUUGUAAUUUGUAGAGGAUGAUUCGGCGAGGGCUCCCGCCUAAGUCCCUUGGAACAGGGCGUCAUAGAGGGUGAGAAUCCCGUAUGCGGUGGGCUGCCUUAGCCAUGUGAAUCUCCUUCGACGAGUCGAGUUGUUUGGGAAUGCAGCUCUAAAUGGGAGGUAAAUUUCUUCUAAAGCUAAAUACCGGCCAGAGACCGAUAGCGCACAAGUAGAGUGAUCGAAAGAUGAAAAGCACUUUGGAAAGAGAGUUAAAAAGUACGUGAAAUUGUUGAAAGGGAAGCGCUUGCAGCCAGACUUGCCCGCAGUUGCUCAGCCCGUCUCCUGACGGGUGCACUCUUCUGCGGUCAGGCCAGCAUCAGUUCGGGCGGUCGGAUAAAGGCUCGGGGAAUGUAGCUCCUCUCGGGGAGUGUUAUAGCCCCGAGCGCAAUGCGGCCAGCCCGGACUGAGGAUCUCGCUUCGGCUAGGAUGCUGGCGUAAUGGCUGUAAGCGGCCCGUCUUGAAACACGGACC
RNAcentral lists this ribosomal RNA (588 nucleotides) under Neofusicoccum pennatisporum. RNAcentral's name for it is "eukaryotic LSU rRNA". It matches the Rfam family "Eukaryotic large subunit ribosomal RNA", at positions 65 to 667 of the family's 3401-position model. The record is from RNAcentral. Lineage: Eukaryota; Fungi; Ascomycota; Dothideomycetes; Botryosphaeriales; Botryosphaeriaceae.